UCCUCACACAGCAUGACUGGAGGCUGAGUCUUUGGAAGAAGGAGCGGAACCUCCCUAGCCAUCUCCACCAGCCUUUCCUUAGACUAUGAUUAGGAUAACCCUAACCAGGAUUGGCAGAGAGGGGACAGUGGUGUCUCAGUGACCCAAGCGGGGAGACCUGUACAGGCGUGUCCCACAGGAGUAGGACAGAGAAGGCUGGAGCCUUUCCUGUCACUGGAAGAUGGGCCUCUCCUUGCGUGACUACACCUGACGCCUCCCUCAAGAAGCAAUCGGGAUGGAAAGGACAGAGCCCGGAGCCCCUGGAACUCAAGAUGGGCAGGAUGCUGGCGAGAAGCUGCAGGAGGGCAGCAGCAGCUGCUGGUGUGGCAUGGGAGGAUGGCGUUUCUAAAGCGUGCGGCUGUGCUGCAGGGCCUCCUGGCCGUGGGCUGGCUGUGGAGUAACAAAUAAAUAAAUGGCAG
This 458-nucleotide long non-coding RNA is filed under the name Cavia porcellus (domestic guinea pig). RNAcentral's name for it is "lncRNA (ENSCPOG00000036398.1)". The record is from RNAcentral. Lineage: Eukaryota; Metazoa; Chordata; Mammalia; Rodentia; Caviidae.